Molecule: ribosomal RNA, 835 nt
Filed under: Scedosporium apiospermum
Lineage: Eukaryota; Fungi; Ascomycota; Sordariomycetes; Microascales; Microascaceae
Description: eukaryotic LSU rRNA
Rfam family: Eukaryotic large subunit ribosomal RNA
Source: RNAcentral
AAAGAAACCAACAGGGAUUGCCUCAGUAACGGCGAGUGAAGCGGCAACAGCUCAAAUUUGAAAUCUGGCGGCCUCUGGGCCGUCCGAGUUGUAAUUUGAAGAGGAUGCUUUUGGCGAGGCGCCUUCCGAGUGCCCUGGAACGGGACGCCACAGAGGGUGAGAGCCCCGUAUGGUUGGACGCCGAGCCUCUGUAAAGCUCCUUCGACGAGUCGAGUAGUUUGGGAAUGCUGCUCAAAAUGGGAGGUAAACCCCUUCUAAAGCUAAAUACUGGCCAGAGACCGAUAGCGCACAAGUAGAGUGAUCGAAAGAUGAAAAGCACUUUGAAAAGAGAGUUAAAUAGCACGUGAAAUUGUUGAAAGGGAAGCGCUUGCGACCAGACUUGUGCCCGUCGAAUCAGCCGCCGCUCGCCGGCGGCGCACUUCGGCGGGCUCAGGCCAGCAUCAGUUCGCUGCAGGGGGAGAAAGGCGGCGGGAAUGUGGCUCUUCGGAGUGUUAUAGCCCGCCGCGCAAUACCCCUCGGCGGACUGAGGACCGCGCAUCUGCAAGGAUGCUGGCGUAAUGGUCGUCAGCGACCCGUCUUGAAACACGGACCAAGGAGUCGUCCUAAUAUGCGAGUGUUCGGGUGUAAAACCCCUGCGCGUAAUGAAAGUGAACGGAGGUGAGAGCUUCGGCGCAUCAUCGACCGAUCCUGAUGUUCUCGGAUGGAUUUGAGUAAGAGCAUAUUGGGCCGGACCCGAAAGAAGGUGAACUAUGCCUGUAUAGGGUAAAGCCAGAGGAAACUCUGGUGGAGGCUCGCAGCGGUUCUGACGUGCAAAUCGAUCGUCAAAUAUGGGCAU